This 66-nucleotide small nucleolar RNA is filed under the name Drosophila ananassae. RNAcentral's name for it is "snoRNA:GF26176". Lineage: Eukaryota; Metazoa; Arthropoda; Insecta; Diptera; Drosophilidae. The record is from RNAcentral.
CGAGGAGCUGGACGAGCUGAGCCUCAGCUACUCCCAACUGAGCAGCAGCGGAUGUGAUGAGGCAGA